Molecule: unclassified non-coding RNA, 335 nt
Filed under: Hevea brasiliensis (rubber tree)
Lineage: Eukaryota; Viridiplantae; Streptophyta; Magnoliopsida; Malpighiales; Euphorbiaceae
Source: RNAcentral
CCUUCCAUUUGGAUUAUGCUUCAAAUUUUGUGGGUAGAGGUCACAGGAUCCCAGUUCCUUGACAGCCAAAGGCAGUCUUUCUCCAUCAGCAACCUCGUAAUCUGCCCCUACACUCUUGAUGUUAACAGUCUGAACUUCAUUGUGCUUAGCCCAAAUAACUUUUCCACUGUUAUCCAUACUGGCAACAGGUACUUCUCGGCCAAGUUUCACCAUGAUGGUUCCCUCAUCAUAACCAAUAACAACCCUCCUUGAACUUCUCAUGUAACCAAUUGCCCAUACCACUUAUAGACUUGAGAACACUUUGAAUUAUGGUCUUGAAAGAGUAUGGGCAAUUG